ACAAUGAAGAGUUUGAUCCUGGCUCAGGAUGAACGCUAGCGGCAGGCCUAACACAUGCAAGUCGAGGGGUAGAAAGUGCUUGCACUUUUGAGACCGGCGGACGGGUGAGUAACGCGUAUGCAAUCUGCCUUGUACAGGGGAAUAGCCCAGGGAAACUUGGAUUAAUGCCCCAUAGUAUUAUAGAACGGCAUUGUUUUAUAAUUAAAGAUUUAUCGGUACAAGAUGAGCAUGCGUCCCAUUAGCUAGUUGGUGUGGUAACGGCACACCAAGGCUACGAUGGGUAGGGGCCCUGAGAGGGGGAUCCCCCACACUGGUACUGAGACACGGACCAGACUCCUACGGGAGGCAGCAGUGAGGAAUAUUGGACAAUGGGCGAGAGCCUGAUCCAGCCAUGCCGCGUGCAGGAAGACAGCCCUAUGGGUCGUAAACUGCUUUUAUACGGGAAGAAACACCCCCUCGUGAGGGGGCUUGACGGUACCGUAUGAAUAAGGACCGGCUAACUCCGUGCCAGCAGCCGCGGUAAUACGGAGGGUCCGAGCGUUAUCCGGAAUCAUUGGGUUUAAAGGGUCCGUAGGCGGGCGAUUAAGUCAGUGGUGAAAGUCUGCAGCUCAACUGUAGAAUUGCCAUUGAUACUGGUUGUCUUGAAUCGUUGUGAAGUGGCUAGAAUAUGUGGUGUAGCGGUGAAAUGCUUAGAUAUCACAUAGAAUAC
Molecule: non-coding RNA, 709 nt
Filed under: Aequorivita viscosa
Lineage: Bacteria; Pseudomonadati; Bacteroidota; Flavobacteriia; Flavobacteriales; Flavobacteriaceae
Description: Aequorivita sp. 8-1b Bacterial small subunit ribosomal RNA
Rfam family: Bacterial small subunit ribosomal RNA
Source: Rfam by way of RNAcentral